This 76-nucleotide transfer RNA is filed under the name Escherichia phage vB_Eco_F26. Its description in RNAcentral is "tRNA-His". The stretch from base 20 to 76 matches the Rfam family "tRNA", at positions 1 to 56 of the family's 71-position model. Rfam says of the family: Transfer RNA (tRNA) molecules are approximately 80 nucleotides in length. Their secondary structure includes four short double-helical elements and three loops (D, anti-codon, and T loops). Further hydrogen bonds mediate the characteristic L-shaped molecular structure. tRNAs have two regions of fundamental functional importance: the anti-codon, which is responsible for specific mRNA codon recognition, and the 3' end, to which the tRNAs corresponding amino acid is attached (by aminoacyl-tRNA synthetases). tRNAs cope with the degeneracy of the genetic code in two manners: having more than one tRNA (with a specific anti-codon) for a particular amino acid; and 'wobble' base-pairing, i.e. permitting non-standard base-pairing at the 3rd anti-codon position. Lineage: Duplodnaviria; Heunggongvirae; Uroviricota; Caudoviricetes; Pantevenvirales; Straboviridae. The record is from RNAcentral.
ACAUAAAAUAAGAAAAUUUGGCCCUGUAGCUGGAAGGUUCAAGCAAGCGACUCAUAAUCGCCAGAUGGUGGUUCAA